This 375-nucleotide ribosomal RNA is filed under the name uncultured organism. RNAcentral's name for it is "bacterial SSU rRNA". It matches the Rfam family "Bacterial small subunit ribosomal RNA", at positions 526 to 896 of the family's 1533-position model. The record is from RNAcentral.
CAGGGGUCUCGAGCGUUAAUCGGAAUUACUGGGCUUAAAGGGUGCGUAGGUGGGUCCGCAAGUGCCUUGUGAAAUCCCCCGGCUCAACCGGGGAACUGCGGGGCAUACUGCGGGUCUUGAGGAAGGUAGGCGCCGAGGGAACAGUAGGUGGAGCGGUGAAAUGCGUAGAUAUCUACUGGAACGCCGAUGGUGAAGACGCUCGGGGGCUGGGCCUUUCCUGACACUGAGGCACGAAAGCGUGGGGAGCAAACAGGAUUAGAUACCCUGGUAGUCCACGCCGUAAACGAUGCGCGCUAGAUCGGUGUGGGUUUGACCCCGGAUCGGUCGAAGUAAAAACGAUAAGCGCGCCGCCUGGGGAGUACGGUCGCAAGGCUA